CCCUUAGAUGUUCGGGGCCGCACGCGCGCUACACUGAAGGAAUCAGCAUGUUUUGUCCUAGCCAGAAAUGGCCGGGUAACCCUCUGAACCUCCUUCGUGCUAGGGAUUGGGGGUUGCAAUUCUUCCCCAUGAACGAGGAAUUCCCAGUAAGCGCGAGUCAUCAGCUCGCGUUGAUUACGUCCCUGCCCUUUGUACACACCGCCCGUCGCUACUACCGAUCGGAUGGUUUAGUGAGACCCUCGGACUGGUCCCGAGAGGGUGGGCAACUGCCCUUUCUGGUGUUGCCGGGAAGAAGGUCGAACUUGACUAUCUAGAGGAAGUAAAAGUCGUAACA
This 334-nucleotide ribosomal RNA is filed under the name uncultured eukaryote. Its description in RNAcentral is "partial 18S ribosomal RNA". It matches the Rfam family "Eukaryotic small subunit ribosomal RNA", at positions 1470 to 1796 of the family's 1831-position model. The record is from RNAcentral.